This 430-nucleotide ribosomal RNA is filed under the name uncultured Acinetobacter sp. RNAcentral's name for it is "bacterial SSU rRNA". It matches the Rfam family "Bacterial small subunit ribosomal RNA", at positions 355 to 776 of the family's 1533-position model. Lineage: Bacteria; Pseudomonadati; Pseudomonadota; Gammaproteobacteria; Moraxellales; Moraxellaceae. The record is from RNAcentral.
UGGGGAAUAUUGGACAAUGGGGGGAACCCUGAUCCAGCCAUGCCGCGUGUGUGAAGAAGGCCUUUUGGUUGUAAAGCACUUUAAGCGAGGAGGAGGCUACUUAGAUUAAUACUCUAAGAUAGUGGACGUUACUCGCAGAAUAAGCACCGGCUAACUCUGUGCCAGCAGCCGCGGUAAUACAGAGGGUGCAAGCGUUAAUCGGAUUUACUGGGCGUAAAGGGUACGUAGGUGGUCUUUUAAGUCGGAUGUGAAAUCCCUGAGCUUAACUUAGGAAUUGCAUUCGAUACUGAAAGACUAGAGUAUGGGAGAGGAUGGUAGAAUUCCAGGUGUAGCGGUGAAAUGCGUAGAGAUCUGGAGGAAUACCGAUGGCGAAGGCAGCCAUCUGGCCUAAUACUGACACUGAGGUACGAAAGCAUGGGGAGCAAACAGG